Non-coding RNA from Gossypium hirsutum (cotton), 103 nucleotides. The record is from Rfam. NCBI's taxonomy places the organism in Eukaryota, Viridiplantae, Streptophyta, Magnoliopsida, Malvales, Malvaceae.
CGCCCCCAAAAUAAAGAGCCUUGAAUACUAGAAGAAAAAUAACUACACCUAGCAAAAUUAAGUGAAUACCCAAAAUUGUGGUCAUUUUAUUUCUAUCUUUCAU